RNAcentral lists this ribosomal RNA (393 nucleotides) under uncultured bacterium. RNAcentral describes it as "partial 16S ribosomal RNA". It matches the Rfam family "Bacterial small subunit ribosomal RNA", at positions 523 to 918 of the family's 1533-position model. The record is from RNAcentral.
AUACGGAAGGUCCGGGCGUUAUCCGGAUUCAUUGGGUUUAAAGGGAGCGCAGGCGGAGAUGCAAGCGUGACGUCAAAUUUCGGGGCUCAACCCCGUCUCGCGUCGCGAACUGCGUCCCUUGGUUGCGGGAAGGGGAGGCGGAACUCGUGGUGUAGCGGUGAAAUGCAUAGAUAUCACGAAGAACUCCGACCGCGAAGGCAGCCUUCCGGCCCGUCAACGACGCUCAUGCUCGAAGGUGCGGGUAUCAAACAGGAUUAGAUACCCUGGUAGUCCGCACAGUAAACGAUGGACACCCGCGGUUUGGCCUGUAUGGCUGAGCCGCCAAGCGAAAGCGUUAAGUGUCCCACCUGGGGAGUACGCCGGCAACGGUGAAACUCAAAGGAAUUGACGGGG